AAUCACCCAAAAUUUCUAAUCUCCUCUAGCCGUUCACACAUUCUUUCUGAGAAGAUAAAGAUUCCUUCCUUCCCAAAUUCGAUCCUCAUUAACGGUGAUCAAAUCCUCCAAAAAUCUAUUCUUUCCAAUGAUUUCACGAUUUUGUUAUACUGCUACUUAUCAAUCCUUGUGUUCUCUACCAUCUGCGAAAAUUCUCUCCAACAACUAAAUUUGCAAGAGCCAAACAAAUCAAGAAGAGUUUUUCUUCUGCAUUCCUUUAUCAACCAAAGUCCAACAACGUAACGGGCCGCAAACCUUACUUGGAUUUGUGUACACCUAUGGUAGACCGUGUGUCAGCGUACGGGUUGGCCGGUGUAGUGACUUGGUUUGUGGCCACAUUCCAAGUCAUGUAUGAGCAGAUAUGGUAAACGUCUAUGGGAAAAUGACUGUGCAGUCAAUGGAAUUUUUGGUGCCUCGGGCCUUUCAAAAGCUAAAACCCCGAUGGUUACCUAACAAUGGCAUGAUAAAACAUAAAUAUUUUUGAUAACUUGUUUUCGGCAUGAGUCCUCUGAGUAUUUUAUAGUAUCAGCCUUGCAUGUGUUUCCCUAUGUGCAAGUUGAGCGGCGAUGAGCUUGAGGUGGUGUUGAGUCGAACCUGAAUUAUUGUUGGAUUUUAUCUUGAACUUCGAGGGUCGUCGUGUCUUCAUACACGACGUCACUCUUACUCUUGAAUGCUUCCGUUGAGAUAAUACUAUUUUUCGUAAUUAUAUUUUGAACCCCUCUUCA
This is a long non-coding RNA of Salvia hispanica, 764 nucleotides long. RefSeq lists it as uncharacterized. NCBI's taxonomy places the organism in Eukaryota, Viridiplantae, Streptophyta, Magnoliopsida, Lamiales, Lamiaceae. The record is from RefSeq and is a predicted model, not a curated record.